This is a long non-coding RNA of Impatiens glandulifera, 3580 nucleotides long. RefSeq lists it as uncharacterized. NCBI's taxonomy places the organism in Eukaryota, Viridiplantae, Streptophyta, Magnoliopsida, Ericales, Balsaminaceae. The transcript is spliced from 3 exons. The record is from RefSeq and is a predicted model, not a curated record.
UCUUUCUGAUUAGGGUUUGUUAUUCCCUUCGUCAGCUUCUUUUUUGCGUCCUUCCAGCUUUUGAUUGAAUUUUCAGAGGCAUGUACUAUUGAUUGAUUAUAUUUAGAUUUAAUGUUUUGGGUCGAUUCCAUCAGACGUCUAAUGUUUGAUCUUCAUUAAUUUGAGUUCAAUUCAUUGUUCAAGUCCGGUGGACGGAUUUUCAAGCGUACGUGGGAUGCUGAUUGCUGUAAAAACGAGGGAUCUGGUUUUCUUUUGCAUCGACUAGCUGAUGAUAAGAUAUAAAAGCUGAUGAACAUGUAAGGGUUCUUUGAUUCUUUCAUCUGCACAUAUUUUAUGUUGCAGUUUGCAGGGACUCUGAUUGGCAUCAACUACGGCUGAUGAAAGGAAAGCUUAUGCCAUGGAACCGUAUUUGUGCUAGCUGAAGUGAACGAGAACGUGUAAGGGUUCUUUGAUGUAUAGAUGAUUCAAGAUGUCAAGACUGUGGAACUACUAUUUGAGAUGGAAGUUCCUCUGUUUCUUAGACAAUCUUUUGUGUCAUUCUGUCUGACCUUUGCCAUGUCAGGUGCGCUUGCUUGGCAGGUCCUUCAUUUAAUAAAGAUACAUUUUUUUAGGGGGGUGGGACAGCGCACGGUAUUGACCGGGUUUCCCCCCUCCUGUGUUGUGUGUGUGUUUCUUUCUUGCUUCUCUUCCUUUUUCAUGCAUUCCAUCUUCCAUUCGCAUUAAACAUUCUCCAAAAAGGUAAGAAGUAACAAAAAUAUAGCACCAGCUUGCUUGUUAGCACAUCUCAUAAUAAGCGGUACAUAACAAAAGAGACUCCACUUCAAAUUACCAGAUUCCAUCUUUUCCAUGGAAGAACAGAAUGCAACUGCUUAGUUGCCAAUGCAUGAUGCAGGUAUUUCUAACUCAAUAUAUUAAUCAUUGUAUAUUAAAUUCUCCACUUUAUUGGGACUUAAUGAAAUGAACCACAUUAAAGAUUCUCAUCUUCUUAUACAUGUAUACCUAACCCAUCAAUGAUUAACAAGCAUAUAUAGAUUCUCAAAAGAAACCUUAAUUAUAAUAGUGCAGUUUAUCUCUGACUUGGAACAAGAACUCUUCUUUCAUUCAUUGUUGGCUAAACUCAAUCAACUAUAUGCUGGUAAUGAGAUCUUAUUUUCUAUGGAAGUGCACACAUAAUCAUUGUACAGGGUUGCAAAGGCUGAAAAAUGUUGACACAAAUCUUCAAUUCUUUCUCUGCAAUGAGCGACUUUGGGGAGUUGGGUCCCCAUACGAAAACCCUUCUAACUGCAAUGAUGGUCAUCAAAUUAUUGAAGUUGAUUUUCUUUAUAAUCAGAUGAUGGGGUUUCCAACAUUUUAAUAGAUAUUGAGAAGGAGAAAGAUUUAAUUUGUAAUUUGAUUACUGUGUUCAGAGGUUGAGGUGGGAACUAAUAAUACUAAAAUCCAAGCACCGAGUUUGAUCUGAGCAGGGCGUACCAUUAAAUUUCUUCAUAUGGUUUAUUAUUAUCAUUUGCAUAAUCAUACUGAACUUCUUUUAUAAUUCUUAAUCUGUAUGCAAUCAAUUAAUAUUUAUGUUUCUCUUGGUGGAGGAGUCUCCACUCCAGUCUAUUAUCUUAAUACAAUUAUUUUAGUGUGCUUUUUAAGGAUAUUUUGGUCAAUGUUAUAUUAUAUUCGGAAAAUUGCAAUUACUGGAGGAGUUAGGCUGUAGUGUUGUAAAGAGUAGAUAGUAUGGCAAAUCUUGGACCUUUGUUGCUGGUUUACAAGCAUAUGAGGAUUUAUGUUUCCUGGUCCAGAAGAUUUCAAUUUCAUAUGCUGAAGUUAUUGAUGCUGAAUCAGACAACUUUUGAGAAUGAGAACUUCAACUUUUAAGGUGAUUGUGUACUCUUUUGAAGUUGCCUAUUAUUUGAUAUAAUACCAAAUUUAUUUUUGUAUCGACUAAUGGUCAUUUACUUUGUUGUGUAGAUAGAGUUCAUUACCAAACUUUAAUCUUAGAAAUAAAUACAUUUUGUUUCAAACAUUUUAUGCAGAAAGCAGUUCAGGAACACCAUUUUCAUGAAUGAGGUGAUUGAUAAGUUUUUUCCUGAGGAGUUUUGAAAAAAAUUAAGAUCGAAAUUGGAUGAAAAGCAUUCAAAAUAAAAGAUGGCAAGUUUUUAUUGUUGCCCUAGUGUAUCAGUUGACUUCUCAAAUAAAACUUACUUUUAGCUUCUUAUAUAACCUGUUGAUGAGAGAGUCAGGUACUAAGUAUGAGACAUUAGAAUCAACCUGAAGGUCCAUGGUGAUCCAACUGCACAUCAUGUUGAAUGGUGAUUUGAAACUAAACAACACGAGUACAAGGUUCAAUGGCGAUCCAAACUAAACAGCACUAGUAAACAAAGUAGGGCAGUCUCUUCUUGGGUACAGGAACAAACAUGAGAAAACCAGGGUGUAAUUAGGGAGGCUACAUAAAGGAAGGAUCUUUUAUGCUUUCAAAAAUAAGUCCAAUUUGCGAUGGUCUGAGUUGAUGUCCAGAUUUUUUGGGGGUUUGAUGGUUUGAUUGUUGGGCAUGAGAAGGAAGAGCAGAAUGAAUCAAAUUUUAGUCUUGGAAUCUGGACAGGUUCCAAAUUUUGGUUAAGUCUCCUCCUAUCAUUAAAUGUGCUCUUCAUUGAAACUUUUAGGACUAGACUAAAAUCUAUAUCUUUACUUGCUCUUCUGAUUCAGAUUUUUAAUUAUCAUGAAGACAUCUCAAGCUUUAGGGGAUUUAAAAAAAAUAAUAAUUACUAUUAUGUAUUUUGCUUUAUUAUUGAUACCCCACAUGCAUAAAUUAGAUUAUUUUUAUCUCGUAUUUUCAUCAAGUAUAAUGAAUGGUUUAUAAGAGUUUCCUUGAUAAGCAAGGAUUGCAUUGACACUAGGUCUGUAAGCUCUAAAUGGGAAGAGUUCUCUCAGACUGACUGUGAGGUUGUGGUGGUUCGAUUCCGCCUGGAUCUUUUUCUAUCUAUUAAUUACUUCUACACAAACAAUGCAAUUUCAUCUGCCAAUUUUAUCUUAUAAUGUUUGCUUAUUAGGGUUUUCCAACAUUUGUAAUUUGACAUAGAACAAGAACUCAUCAUUCAUUCAUGAUUGGCUAUACUCACAAUCAACCAUAUCCUGGUAAUGAGAUCUUAUUUUCUAUGAAAGUGCACACAUAAUCAUUGUACAGGAUUUCAAAGGCUGAGAAAUGUUGCAUACAUUAUCUUUUCAUCGCCAAGAGUGGAAUGCAGAUUGACGAAUGAAGUGUUUUGUGCAUGCCACGGAUCAGUCAACAACAUAGGAGAAAACCAGGCUGUAAUUAGGAAGACUCUCCUCCAUAAAGGAAGGAUCUUUUAUGCUCAAUUUGCUGAUGGUCUAGGUUGAUGUCUAGAUUUGUCGGAGAAUUUAAUGGUUUGAUUGUUGGGGGUGUGAGAAGGAAGAGACUGCAAAUUUUGGUUAGUCCCCUACCACUAAAUGUCUUCAUUGCAAUUAUUUACAACUACAAUUUAUCUAUCUCUAUACACUUUUGGUUCAAAUCUUUUAUUAUCAUGAAAUCAAUUAUCUCAAGGUUUAGAAAAAGAAAAUAAUAAUAAUUAUUAUG